This 759-nucleotide non-coding RNA is filed under the name Strongylocotes lipogonus. The record is from RNAcentral. Lineage: Eukaryota; Metazoa; Arthropoda; Insecta; Psocodea; Heptapsogasteridae.
AAAUCUUUUGAGUCAGGAUAGGUGGUUACAUUGAAGGACUGGUCUCUAUACAAUGGAGUGAUAUCUUGUUCAUUAAAGUAAGAGGUAAAUUUCUGAGAGGUUAAUUCGCCAGAGGUUUUUUCAAAAUUAUCUUCAAAGUAAGUUUUGUGCCAGCACUUGCGGUCACACAAUCUGAAGGAAAGUAACUAACAGAAUAUCCACUAAGGUUUCUCAAGGUGAGUUUGUCAUCUCUACUCUUCUGAUGGUCUUCUGGUGAAAUAGGGACCCAAGAUAAUUGUUGACAUAGAAAUCUUUUCAAAGUUACAAGUAAACCAGGAUUAGAUACCCUGCUAUAUUGACUCUAUCGUUAAAGUGGAUCGAUUAUCGGUUAAUCCGGGAAAAGUAAGACUCAUGGCGGUCAAAUACUCUGAUUAGAGGGGAAUGUAGGAUAACAAUGAAACUGCGCAACAAACUCUUCUUCAUUUUGAAUAACUCAUUUUGUACACCGCUAUCUGAAAAUCUUGUUUACAUCGAAGAUUAGCUCCUCUUGUCAAGGAAUAAGGUAAGUUAAGGUGCAGACAAUAAUGAAGAUCCUAUGUGCCUCAGAGCAACGGAAGAUUUUCUUAGUCUUUGAAAGGUCUGGGAAGAGUGAAUUUAAGAGUAAUGGGAGUUAACCACACCCUCAUGAAUGAGAAAUAUUUGACGUACAAAUUGCCCGUCACUCCGUAAGUGGAGAAGUCGUAACACAGUUGGCCUACUGGAAGGUGGGCCAGGAUUUAA